This 277-nucleotide ribosomal RNA is filed under the name uncultured bacterium. RNAcentral describes it as "partial 16S ribosomal RNA". It matches the Rfam family "Bacterial small subunit ribosomal RNA", at positions 218 to 509 of the family's 1533-position model. The record is from RNAcentral.
CUUGAGGAUGGACUCGCGUCCGAUUAGUUAGUUGGUGAGGUAACGGCCCACCAAGACAUCGAUCGGUAGCCGAACUGAGAGGUUGAUCGGCCACAUUGGGACUGAGACACGGCCCAGACUCCUACGGGAGGCAGCAGUGGGGAAUAUUGGGCAAUGGGCGAAAGCCUGACCCAGCAACGCCGCGUGAAGGAUGAAGGUCUUCGGAUUGUAAACUUCUUUGAUCAGGGACGAAACAAAUGACGGUACCUGAAGAACAAGCCACGGCUAACUACGUGCC